This 492-nucleotide ribosomal RNA is filed under the name uncultured bacterium. RNAcentral's name for it is "partial 16S ribosomal RNA". It matches the Rfam family "Bacterial small subunit ribosomal RNA", at positions 29 to 507 of the family's 1533-position model. The record is from RNAcentral.
AGUGAACGCUGGCGGUAGGCCUAACACAUGCAAGUCGAACGGCAGCACAGUAAGAGCUUGCUCUUACGGGUGGCGAGUGGCGGACGGGUGAGGAAUACAUCGGAAUCUACUUUUUCGUGGGGGAUAACGUAGGGAAACUUACGCUAAUACCGCAUACGACCUACGGGUGAAAGCAGGGGAUCUUCGGACCUUGCGCGAUUGAAUGAGCCGAUGUCGGAUUAGCUAGUUGGCGGGGUAAAGGCCCACCAAGGCGACGGUGCGUAGCUGGUCUGAGAGGAUUAUAAGGCAAAUUGGAACUGAGACAUGGUUCAGAAGACUAAGGGAAGCAACAGUGGGGAAUAUUGGAAGACGGGCGCAAGCCUGAAACAGGCAUACGGGCUAGGGGAAGAAGGAUUUCGGGUUGUAAAGCCCGUUUGGUGGGAAAGAAAAGGAGUAGGUUAAGACCACGAGGCUCUGACGGUAGCAAAAAAAUAAGCACCGGCUAACUUCGUG